This 1671-nucleotide long non-coding RNA is filed under the name Homo sapiens (human). Its description in RNAcentral is "HSALNT0342855". The record is from RNAcentral. Lineage: Eukaryota; Metazoa; Chordata; Mammalia; Primates; Hominidae.
CUAAGAUAAAAGCAGACAGAGGAAUGUGGAAGAACUAGACUGGCUGAGUCUUCUGGCCUCAAUCUUUCUCCCUCACUGGAUGAUUCAUGCCUUGAACAUCAGUCUCCAAGUUCUUCAGCUUUUUGAAUCUUGGACUUACACCAGUGGUUUUCCAGGGGCUCUGGAGCCUUUGGCCACAGACUGAAGGCUGCACUGUUGGCUUUUCUACUUUUGAGGUUUUGGGACUCAGACUGUCUUCCUUGCUCCUCAGCUUGCAGAUGGCCUAUUGUGGGACUUCACUUUAUGUCUGUCUCUUCCGGCAUAGCCCUCUAGGAAUUCCAGCUGAGAGCCUGCCAGUAGCCUACCAGGGCUCCUCCCCUUCCAGAUGCUGACCUCUCAUCUUUGUCACUUCCACAUCACAGACUGUCAAUAACUCCUAUAUGCUUUGGAGAAGAUGUCUACUAACUACUUGGCCUCCAGCCUCCACAUAACUCGAGAAUUUGACAAGUGUCUUGAAAGAAAAACUGAUGAUGGGUCAGGAUCAGUCUUCCCUGCUCAGUAGAUCCUUACCCCUCAAGUCUUUCCACUACUACAAGACACCAAAAGCUUUCCUGGUUUCUCUAUCUCCUCUACCUAGAGAAUACCAGGUUCUCAGACAUUAGCUCUAGGUCCAAAAUCAAGCCGGUUUUUCUUUUGCAGGGAAAAACUGGCCGAAUAGUGUUAACUCACUAGUCUUCCCCUUUCUGGAAUCUUGGCAUUUCUAGUUUUGGUUGCCCUAGCAGCUCUCCAAUGCCUUUAAACAGAUGUCUUCUGCUUCUAUUAGGCUUGUUCUUGGCUGAGGCCUUGGUCUGCUGGAAAAUACUGCCACAUACGCAGAAGUAGAAGUCUCUUGAGACAUCAUCUUAUUAGUUAUUUAUUGCCAUGUAACAAAUUACAUGGAAACUUAGUGACUUAAAGAAACAAUAAAAAUUUAUUAUCUCACAUUUUCUGUGCAUCAGAAUUCUGUGGGAUAGGAGCAGCAUAGCAGAUGGUUCUGGCAAAGAAUCUCUCAUAAGGUUGUAGCCCAAUGUUGCCUCGGGCUUGAGAAUGAGCUUCCAAAAGAGUUCACCCUCAUGACUGCCAAGCAGGUGCUGGCUAUUGUAAGAAAGUCUGUCCGUUUUCACACAGGCCUGUUACGAGUAUUUUCAUGACAUGGCAGGUGACUUCACCACAAUAAGGGAAGCAAGAACAGGAAAAAUGGAAGUGUGCAUGUCUUCUAUGACUGAGCCUUAGAAAUUACACUCUUUCCUUUCUGCAAUAUCCUAUUAGUUACGCAGAUCAGUCUUAUUAAAUGUAGAAGAAGAUACACAGAAAACAAACACCAGGGAACAGAAAUCAUUAUCAGUAAGGCCUAUCUAAAAGAAAAUUAUAUUUAAAAUAAAAUUCUUCAUAUAGAUGGAGAAAUUUAAGAAGUUGUUUUGCUGCAGUAAUGAUCAUUACAAAAUAACUACAAAGUUGUGCUUCUAGUGUUGGUUGCAAUUCUGCUCCUAUCUCAUGCACCUUCUUCAUUCAAGGAUCCAGGCUUGAAUAGCAACCUGCAUCUGGAAUAUGCUAUUCUGGUGACAGAGGGAAAUAAGAGCAAGAACCAUAGCACACAAAGGCCCUCAAUUGUUUACUUAGCUAUGGUAUACAUCACUUCUGCCUACAUUUCAU